RNAcentral lists this ribosomal RNA (301 nucleotides) under uncultured bacterium. RNAcentral describes it as "partial 16S ribosomal RNA". It matches the Rfam family "Bacterial small subunit ribosomal RNA", at positions 509 to 807 of the family's 1533-position model. The record is from RNAcentral.
CAGUCGCCGCGGGAAUACGAAGGGGGCUAGCGUUGCUCGGAAUUACUGGGCGUAAAGGGCGCGUAGGCGGACAUUUAAGUCAGAGGUGAAAGCCCAGGGCUCAACCUUGGAACUGCCUUUGAUACUGGGUGUCUAGAGUGCGGGAGAGGUGUGUGGAACUCCGAGUGUAGAGGUGAAAUUCGUAGAUAUUCGGAAGAACACCAGUGGCGGAGGCGACACACUGGCCCGUAACUGACGCUGAGGCGCGAAAGCGUGGGGAGCAAACAGGAUUAGAUACCCCUGUAGUCCCUGUCUCUUAUAC